CCUACGGGAGGCAGCAGUGAGGAAUAUUGGUCAAUGGACGAGAGUCUGAACCAGCCAAGUAGCGUGAGGGAUGACUGCCCUGUGGGUUGUAAACUUCUUUUAUAAGGGAAUAAAGCGAGGCACGUGUGCCUUUUUGCGUGUACUUUAUGAAUAAGGAUCGGCUAACUCCGUGCCAGCAGCCGCGGUAAUACGGAGGAUCCGAGCGUUAUCCGGAUUUAUUGGGUUUAAAGGGAGCGUAGAUGGGUUGUUAAGUCAGUUGUUAAAGUUCGGGGCUCAACCGUAAAAUUGCAGUUGAUACUGGCAGUCUUGAGUACAGUUGAGGUAGGCGGAAUUCGUGGUGUAGCGGUGAAAUGCUUAGAUAUCGCGAAGAACCCCGAUUGCGAAGGCAGCUUACUAAACUGAGACUGACAUUGAUGCUCGAAAGUGUGGGUAUCAAACAGGAUUAGAUACCCUUGUAGUC
RNAcentral lists this ribosomal RNA (460 nucleotides) under uncultured bacterium. RNAcentral's name for it is "partial 16S ribosomal RNA". It matches the Rfam family "Bacterial small subunit ribosomal RNA", at positions 338 to 795 of the family's 1533-position model. The record is from RNAcentral.